CCUACGGGUGGCUGCAGUGGGGAAUAUUGGACAAUGGGGGGGAACCCUGAUCCAGCCAUGCCGCGUGUGUGAAGAAGGCCCUCGGGUUGUAAAGCACUUUCAGUGAGGAAGAACGCCUGGUGGUUAAUACCCAUCAGGAAAGACAUCACUCACAGAAGAAGCACCGGCUAACUCCGUGCCAGCAGCCGCGGUAAUACGGAGGGUGCGAGCGUUAAUCGGAAUUACUGGGCGUAAAGCGCGCGUAGGUGGCUUGAUAAGCCGGUUGUGAAAGCCCCGGGCUCAACCUGGGAACGGCAUCCGGAACUGUCAAGCUAGAGUGCAGGAGAGGAAGGUAGAAUUCCCGGUGUAGCGGUGAAAUGCGUAGAGAUCGGGAGGAAUACCAGUGGCGAAGGCGGCCUUCUGGACUGACACUGACACUGAGGUGCGAAAGCGUGGGUAGCGAACAGGAUUAGAUACCCGUGUAGUC
Molecule: ribosomal RNA, 466 nt
Filed under: Vreelandella stevensii
Lineage: Bacteria; Pseudomonadati; Pseudomonadota; Gammaproteobacteria; Oceanospirillales; Halomonadaceae
Description: partial 16S ribosomal RNA
Rfam family: Bacterial small subunit ribosomal RNA
Source: RNAcentral